AGUUUCUCUUACCAACAUUANGUACCCAUGCCGAACACAGAAGUUAAGCCCUAGAACGCCGGAAGUAGUUGGGGGUUGCCCCCUGUGAGAUAGGGAAGUCGCUUAGCU
RNAcentral lists this ribosomal RNA (108 nucleotides) under Streptococcus pneumoniae. Lineage: Bacteria; Bacillati; Bacillota; Bacilli; Lactobacillales; Streptococcaceae. The record is from RNAcentral.